UAAUACGUAGGGGGCAAGCGUUGUCCGGAAUCAUUGGGCGUAAAGCGCGCGUAGGCGGCCCGGUAAGUCCGUUGUGAAAGUCGAAGGCUCAACCUUCGAAUGCCGAUGGAUACUGCCGGGCUAGAGUACGGAAGAGGUGAGUGGAAUUCCUGGUGUAGCGGUGGAAUGCGCAGAUAUCAGGAGGAACACCAAUAGCGAAGGCAGCUCACUGGGACGUUACUGACGCUGAGGCGCGAAAGCGUGGGGAGCGAACAGGAUUAGAUACCCUGGUAGUCCACGCCGUAAACGAUGGGUACUAGGUGUGGGAGGUGUCGACUCCUCCCGUGCCGGCGCUAACGCAUUAAGUACCCCGCCUGGGGAGUACGGCCGCAAGGCUA
RNAcentral lists this ribosomal RNA (377 nucleotides) under uncultured bacterium. RNAcentral describes it as "bacterial SSU rRNA". It matches the Rfam family "Bacterial small subunit ribosomal RNA", at positions 521 to 896 of the family's 1533-position model. The record is from RNAcentral.